RNAcentral lists this ribosomal RNA (497 nucleotides) under uncultured bacterium. RNAcentral's name for it is "partial 16S ribosomal RNA". It matches the Rfam family "Bacterial small subunit ribosomal RNA", at positions 28 to 507 of the family's 1533-position model. The record is from RNAcentral.
GAUGAACGCUGGCGGCGUGCCUAAUACAUGCAAGUCGAGCGAACAGAUAAGGCGCUUGCUCCUUUGACGUUAGCGGCGGACGGGUGAGUAACACGUGGGUAACCUACCUAUAAGACUGGGAUAACUUCGGGAAACCGGAGCUAAUACCGGAUAACAUUUGGAACCGCAUGGUUCUAAAGUGAAAGAUGGUUUUGCUAUCACUUAUAGAUGGACCCGCGCCGUAUUAGCUAGUUGGUAAGGUAACGGCUUACCAAGGCGACGAUACGUAGCCGACCUGAGAGGGUGAUCGGCCACACUGGAACUGAGACACGGUCCAGACUCCUACGGGAGGCAGCAGUAGGGAAUCUUCCGCAAUGGGCGAAAGCCUGACGGAGCAACGCCGCGUGAGUGAUGAAGGGUUUCGGCUCGUAAAACUCUGUUAUUAGGGAAGAACAAACGUGUAAGUAACUGUGCACGUCUUGACGGUACCUAAUCAGAAAGCCACGGCUAACUACGUG